UACGUAGGGGGCGAGCGUUGUCCGGAUUUAUUGGGCGUAAAGAGCGUGUAGGCGGUUCGGUAAGUCUGUCGUGAAAUCCUGAGGCUCAACCUUGGACGUGCGAUGGAUACUGCCGGGCUAGAGGAUGGUAGAGGCGAGUGGAAUUCUCGGUGUAGCGGUGAAAUGCGCAGAUAUCGGGAGGAACACCAGUGGCGAAGGCGGUCUCCUGGGGCAUUCUUGACGCUGAGACGCGAAAGCUGGGGGAGCGAACGGG
This 253-nucleotide ribosomal RNA is filed under the name uncultured bacterium. RNAcentral's name for it is "partial 16S ribosomal RNA". It matches the Rfam family "Bacterial small subunit ribosomal RNA", at positions 524 to 776 of the family's 1533-position model. The record is from RNAcentral.